RNAcentral lists this long non-coding RNA (1485 nucleotides) under Nicotiana tabacum (common tobacco). RNAcentral's name for it is "long non-coding RNA (NTAB_LNC019589)". Lineage: Eukaryota; Viridiplantae; Streptophyta; Magnoliopsida; Solanales; Solanaceae. The record is from RNAcentral.
AAAGAGUGCUUUGUAAAGGCUUUAAAGUCCAAAAAUGCAGCCUUUGGAUUAGAAGCAAAACACGUUAGGCAGAAACAUUUUCCUUCAUUAAACAAUCAAACAACACUUGCAUUCUUUGGUUUUAAAGAACCAAAAACGUGAAAGUUUAUUUUGGUUUAUCAAAUUCAAUUUUUAGCCAAUGUUGCAAUUUCAAAGAACUAUCAAUUUCGUUUCUGUAUCUCGAGAAUUUCGUCCAUAUUUUGUAAAAGCAGAUUCGUUCAAAUAAUUCCGGGAACAGGUAUGUUAAGGCUAUCCCUUCUUUCUUUUGGCAUGAUCCAUACGAUAUGAACGAAACGUGCAAAUACACAAAUUCCAAAAGUAACUCUACUCAUAGGAGUAAUAGAAAUAUCUAUGUUCUUUAAUUUCCAGGUGUCAUAAUAUUUUAUCAUCUGUUCAUGGGUCUCAGAAAAAUACGAAAGUUGAAAGGAUGUUACAUUAUGAUAUUGCUCAAGGGGCAAAAUGGUCUUAUGACAUUCUGAAUGAUUUUAUUGACGUACAUUUCAUGCAUUGCAUCCACGUGCAUUGACCCAUGACCAGAUGGUGUUAUAUACGCAUAUAUAUGUAAAUAUAUUUAUAUGGGAUAUGGGAAAAGGUUAUGGCGUUAUAUACGCAUCACCACCUGAUCAGCUGGUAUAUGAUGAUGAUGUUGCCCACAGUGGCUGAAAUAUUAUUCAAACGGCGUUAUAUACGCAUAUAUGGGUAUGUAUUCAAAUAGCGUUAUAUACGCAUAUAUAUGUAUGUAUUCAAAUGGCGUUAUAUACGCGUAUAUAUAUAUGUAUAUAUAUGUAUAUGGGAUAUGGGAAAGGUUAUGGCGUUAUAUACGCACCACCACCUGAUCAGCUGGUAUACGAUGAUGAUUUUGCCCACAGUGGCUGAUAUGAUAUGAUGGGAUGCCCUCAGAGGCUGAUGAUGUUAUGAAAUAUGUACCCAUGCACGACAUGACAUUCAUACGCAUAUGCAUGACGCUAAAAGUAAUUUAUGAUUUACAAAGUUAUUCAGACUUACAGGAUGAGUCAUGUACUCUAUAUUUCUUCCAUGUCUCUUAUGUACUUAUUUAUAUGCCUUACAUACUCGGUACAUUAUUUGUACUGACGUCCCUUUUGCCUGGGGAUGCUGCGUUUCAUGCCCGCAGGUCCCGAUAGACAGGUCGAGAGCCCUCCAAGUAGGCUAUCAACUCAGCGGAAGAUGUUGGUGCGCUCCAUUUGCUUCGGAGUUGCUUGUUUGGUUAGUAUGAUUUAGACGUGUAUUGUUUGGUAUGGCGGGACUCUAUCCUGACCCGUUAUGAUAUAUAUGUAUUCUUAGAGGCUUGUAGACAUAUGUCGUGUAUGUGAAAGAUUGUACGGCCUUGUCGGCCUAUGUUUUGAGCUUAUAAAAGAUCAUGUUGCCCUAUUAGCCAUGUAUGUCACGUGUAUAUGAUGAUGUAUUAAGAAGAUACGUUAGUUGGUA